This 234-nucleotide non-coding RNA is filed under the name Clostridiales sp. EM6. RNAcentral's name for it is "Clostridiales sp. T-box sequence". It matches the Rfam family "T-box leader". Rfam says of the family: Uncharged tRNA acts as the effector for transcription antitermination of genes in the T-box leader family. Lineage: Bacteria; Bacillati; Bacillota; Clostridia; Eubacteriales. The record is from RNAcentral.
AGAAAGGCUGGGAAGAAGAGGAGUACAUUUUCUGCACCUUCAGAGAGGACUGAUCACAGGCUGGAAGUCGGUCCGGGAAUGCAAAAAUGGAAGGUAGCUUCGGAGCCGGAAUGGUGAAAUAAGAGUAGCUGUUCCCGGGGAGAGACCUCGUUAAGAACGAAGAGAUGCUGUUUGGAGGAUCGUUCUGGAUCCGGACAGUGAAUAAAGGUGGUAACGCGGUGAUUCGCCCUUUGC